AUUGAACGCUGGCGGCAUGCCUUACACAUGCAAGUCGAACGGCAGCACGGGAGCAAUCCUGGUGGCGAGUGGCGAACGGGUGAGUAAUAUAUCGGAACGUGCCCAGUCGUGGGGAUAACGUAGCGAAAGCUACGCUAAUACCGCAUACGAUCUAUGGAUGAAAGCGGGGGAUCGCAAGACCUCGCGCGAUUGGAGCGGCCGAUAUCAGAUUAGGUAGUUGGUGAGGUAAAGGCUCGCCAAGCCGACGAUCUGUAGCUGGUCUGAGAGGACGACCAGCCACACUGGGACUGAGACACGGCCCAGACUCCUACGGGAGGCAGCAGUGGGGAAUUUUUGGACAAUGGGCGCAAGCCUGAUCCAGCAAUGCCGCGUGCAGGAUGAAGGCCUUCGGUUGUAAC
Molecule: ribosomal RNA, 398 nt
Filed under: uncultured bacterium
Lineage: Bacteria
Description: bacterial SSU rRNA
Rfam family: Bacterial small subunit ribosomal RNA
Source: RNAcentral